AGAGUUUGAUCCUGGCUCAGGAUGAACGCUGGCGGCGUGCUUAACACAUGCAAGUCGAACGAGGUCCAUGGAGCUUGCUCCGGAAGACCUAGUGGCGAACGGGUGCGUAACACGUGAGAAACCUGCCCCGAUCUCUGGGAUAACAGUUGGAAACGACUGCUAAUACCGGAUGCCAUCACACCGCUUCAUGGCGGAGUGCUGAAAGAUUUAUCGGAUUGGGAGGGUCUCGCGGCCUAUCAGCUAGUUGGAGAGGUAACGGCUCACCAAGGCAUCGACGGGUAGCUGGUCUGAGAGGAUGAUCAGCCACACUGGAACUGAGACACGGUCCAGACUCCUACGGGAGGCAGCAGUGGGGAAUCUUGCACAAUGGGCGAAAGCCUGAUGCAGCAACGCCGCGUGCGGGACGAAGGCCCUAGGGUUGUAAACCGCUUUCAGUAGGGAAGAAAAUGACGGUACCUACAGAAGAAGGUGCGGCCAACUACGUGCCAGCAGCCGCGGUGACACGUAGGCACCAAGCGUUAUCCGGAUUUAUUGGGCGUAAAGAGCUCGUAGGCGGUUUGGUAAGUCGGGUGUGAAAACUCUGGGCUCAACCCAGAGAGGCCACUCGAUACUGCUAUGACUAGAGUACGGUAGGGGAGCGGGGAAUUCAUGGUGUAGCGGUGAAAUGCGCAGAUAUCAUGAGGAACACCAGCGGCGAAGGCGCCGCUCUGGGCCGUAACUGACGCUGAGGAGCGAAAGCAUGGGUAGCAAACAGGAUUAGAUACCCUGGUAGUCCAUGCCGUAAACGUUGGGCACUAGGUGUGGGUCUCAACCAACGAGAUCCGCGCCGUCGCUAACGCAUUAAGUGCCCCGCCUGGGGAGUACGGUCGCAAGACUAAAACUUAAAGGAAUUGAUGG
Molecule: ribosomal RNA, 897 nt
Filed under: uncultured bacterium
Lineage: Bacteria
Description: bacterial SSU rRNA
Rfam family: Bacterial small subunit ribosomal RNA
Source: RNAcentral